GCUCAGAUUGAACGCUGGCGGCAUGCUUUACACAUGCAAGUCGAACGGUAACAGGCCGCAAGGUGCUGACGAGUGGCGAACGGGUGAGUAAUGCAUCGGAACGUGCCCAGUCGUGGGGGAUAACGCAGCGAAAGCUGUGCUAAUACCGCAUACGAUCUAUGGAUGAAAGCGGGGGACCGUAAGGCCUCGCGCGAUUGGAGCGGCCGAUGUCAGAUUAGGUAGUUGGUGGGGUAAAGGCCCACCAAGCCAACGAUCUGUAGCUGGUCUGAGAGGACGACCAGCCACACUGGAACUGAGACACGGUCCAGACUCCUACGGGAGGCAGCAGUGGGGAAUUUUGGACAAUGGGCGCAAGCCUGAUCCAGCAAUGCCGCGUGCAGGAAGAAGGCCUUCGGGUUGUAAACUGCUUUUGUACGGAACGAAACGGUCUGGGUUAAUACCCUGGGCUAAUGACGGUACCGUAAGAAUAAGCACCGGCUAACUACGUGCCAGCAGCCGCGGUAAUACGUAGGGUGCAAGCGUUAAUCGGAAUUACUGGGCGUAAAGCGUGCGCAGGCGGUUUUGUAAGACAGUCGUGAAAUCCCCGGGCUCAACCUGGGAAUUGCGAUUGUGACUGCAAAGCUGGAGUGCGGCAGAGGGGGAUGGAAUUCCGCGUGUAGCAGUGAAAUGCGUAGAUAUGCGGAGGAACACCGAUGGCGAAGGCAAUCCCCUGGGCCUGCACUGA
RNAcentral lists this ribosomal RNA (724 nucleotides) under Hydrogenophaga sp. SMCC G946. RNAcentral describes it as "bacterial SSU rRNA". It matches the Rfam family "Bacterial small subunit ribosomal RNA", at positions 22 to 743 of the family's 1533-position model. The record is from RNAcentral. Lineage: Bacteria; Pseudomonadati; Pseudomonadota; Betaproteobacteria; Burkholderiales; Comamonadaceae.